AACGAACGUUGGCGGCGUGGAUUAGGCAUGCAAGUCGAACGAAUCCCUGGGGGCUUGCUCCCAGGGGGAAGUGGCGAAAGGGGCAGUAAGGCGUGGGUAACCUACCCCGGGGACCGGGAUAGCUAUCCUAACGGAUGGGUAAUACCGGGCGAUUUGGCGGAACCGCAUGGCUCUGCCAGGAAAUGAGUUUCGCCUCGGGAGGGGCUCACGUGGUAUUAGCUAGUUGGUGAGGUAAUAGCUCACCAGGCUGAGAUGCCUAGCGGGUGUGAGAGCACGA
Molecule: ribosomal RNA, 277 nt
Filed under: uncultured bacterium
Lineage: Bacteria
Description: partial 16S ribosomal RNA
Rfam family: Bacterial small subunit ribosomal RNA
Source: RNAcentral